UACGUAGGGGGCAAGCGUUAUCCGGAAUUACUGGGUGUAAAGGGAGCGUAGGCGGCAAGGCAAGUCUGAUGUGAAAACCCAGGGCCCAACCCUGGGACUGCAUUGGAAACUGUAUUGCUUGAGUACCGGAGAGGCAGGCGGAAUUCCUAGUGUAGCGGUGAAAUGCGUAGAUAUUAGGAGGAACACCAGUGGCGAAGGCGGCCUGCUGGACGGUAACUGACGCUGAGGCUCGAAAGCGUGGGGAGCAAACAGG
This 253-nucleotide ribosomal RNA is filed under the name uncultured bacterium. RNAcentral's name for it is "partial 16S ribosomal RNA". It matches the Rfam family "Bacterial small subunit ribosomal RNA", at positions 524 to 776 of the family's 1533-position model. The record is from RNAcentral.